This 18-nucleotide small nuclear RNA is filed under the name Arabidopsis thaliana (thale cress). Its description in RNAcentral is "snRNA_18427". The record is from RNAcentral. Lineage: Eukaryota; Viridiplantae; Streptophyta; Magnoliopsida; Brassicales; Brassicaceae.
CUCCUCCAAAAAUAGGUG